AAGGAGGAGUGACGGCAGAAUCAGACAAUCGCAGCUAGGGGCCGGCUCUGCACCUGGCUGUGAGUCCCCUCGCCUCUUCCCCUCGCUCCGCCAUUUCUCGGAAACCUCGCCUGAGGAGCGGUUCCCGCGUUGGGCCCAGCCCGGGCAUCGGGCCAAGGAAGCGCUGCUGCCCUGAACCGCCUGGAGGUCGGGGAUUUUCCAUUCCCAAGGCAUGGGUGCAUGGAGGAGGAGUAAAAGCCCAAGAGUUCCCUCAUGAGGAGAGGCUGCAAAUCCAACUGUGAGAGCUGCAAGGUUGAAAGACCCUCCCUGUGCCAGGAUGGCAACUGGAGAUCCAGGCAGAGCUCAAAGCUGGUGGAGAAGCCGCAUGGAGGGGAGUAGCCUCACAAGUGCUUGGAAUGUGGGAAGGGUUUCAGCUGCAGCUCCUGGCUGAUCCGGCACCAGAGGAUCCACACUGGGGAGAAGCCCUAUGAUUGUGGGAAGUGUGGGAAGAGCUUCAGGCGCUCACACUUGAUCCAACACCAGAGGAUCCACAAUGGGGGGAAGCCUUAUGAGUGUGGGAAAUGUGGAAGAAUUUCUGAACAAUAUGUCAUCUGAUGCUGCACCAGGUGAUCCACACAGGGGAGCGGCCCUACACCUGCUUGGAAUGUGGGAAGAGCUUUGGGUGGAUGUCCGCCCUGAGAAUACACCACUGCAUCCACUUCAGGGAGAGGCCCUAUGAGUGUACUGAGUGUGGGAAGGGCUUCUCACAGAGCUCAGCCAUUAUCCGACACCAAGGGAGGCACCACUAAGGGAGGCCCUGUGAGUGCCCUGAGUGUGGGAAGAGCUUCGUGCUCUGCUCCAGCUCCAUCCCCCAUGGGAGGAUCAGUGUUGGAUUAUCCCCAGUGAUCCCUGUUGGGCAGAGCCCUGGUGAUUCGUGGUCGUGGUGAUUCCCUCUUGUGUGAGGGGAAGGGGUUGGAAAGAUUUCUUUCCCUUCUUGUCCUGCUGUGAUUUGAUUGGUAAUAAAUUCCCUCCCUGUGUCCAGGCUGGGUCUGUGAUGCCCGUUUUGCUACUUGGUGAGGGAUGUUUCUCCAUCUUGAACUGGCGCAGGAAUUCUUGGUUAAAUUUUCUCUCCCCUGUUGCAGCUGGAGAGGCAGGGUCAGAGUGGCUCGGUGAGUGCCUGGCAUUGGGCCAGCAUCACCCAGGCCAUGGGCACCCCUGAGAUCCCAGUGUGGUGAUGCAUUCCCCCACUUCUAGGGAAAGUGCCAACCCAUACUGUGGCAGGGAUGAAGCAUCAUUAUGACUGGAGCCCACUCUAUUGUGACCCCAUUAAUAGAAAUCCAAAAGGAGACCUUUGAGCUCUCCUAGGCCACCAUGGGCUGUGACCAGCAGUGUCCCUCUGAGGGGGCCUCUCAGAGCCAGCAAACCUUGGCUUUGCUGUGCCUGGAGGAUCAUUGAAACACGACUUGUCCUGGGCCGAUCCCCUCACUCUUCAAGGCCUGAUCCUUUGCCCAGCAGGAGAUGCAAAAACAUCUAAAGGGAGGAUUUCACUGAGCUCUGAGGGGAAUUUUUCACAGAUACCUUGCUUGCACUGACUGUUCCUGUCUGUGUGUGUGCCCCUGCACAUAUGCUAUAGCAAAUCUGGGAGAAAUACAGCUUUCCUAGAUGUGGAAGUACCUUGGAUAUCUAAGUUAGGCUUGUAAGGAAGGUUCAGUUAUAGUUAUGGACUUACUUAAAUGCUGCUAAGUGUUGUUCUUUUGCUAAGUUGUUAAAUGUAAGUAAUAAACUAUGUGUUAUUUUUCUAUUACGUUGCUAAGUACAACUUGGAAGUUGCAGUUAGAAGUUAGGUUAAAUGCUGUUAUGUGUUACUGCUCAUUUGAAUUGUGAAUUCAAAAGUUAAGUUCGGUGUAAGUUCAGUGUUUUUCCUCUGUUGAAUUGCUAGCCUAAGCACUAAGUUAAGUUACAAAUUAAGGUAGAAGUUAAAGUGCUGCUCAGUAUUGUUAGGUUUUUAGGCCGUGUUCCUUUUUGCCCACACUGUCUUUUGUCCCAUGCACCUAAACACAGCACACACCCACAUUCCCUAUAGAGUUCUCAGUUCACUUCUGCUUUGGUUGUCUGGAUUUUGUUUGUUUUGUUGUUGCUUCUUUUCCUUGUUGUGCCUUAGCUGUCCUGUAGGCAGUAGAGUGAAUCUUGCCAACAAACUUUUGCUUCAUUGCUUAAUAUUAAAUCUGACUUUUUCUCAU
This is a long non-coding RNA of Oenanthe melanoleuca, 2219 nucleotides long. RefSeq lists it as uncharacterized. The record is from RefSeq and is a predicted model, not a curated record. Lineage: Eukaryota; Metazoa; Chordata; Aves; Passeriformes; Muscicapidae. The transcript has 2 exons.